CAAGGCUUUUUUCAUGUGGGACAAGUAAAGAGGGGGAGUCGCAUAUUGUUGAGUGGAAUGAAAGUGAAGGUAAUGUGAAAAGGAGCUAUCUAGGUUUCCGCAAACGUUCUUUGGGUGUUGUGCAAUUUGAUACAACAAAGAACCGGUUUUUGGCUGCUGGUGAUGAUUUUUCUAUCAAGUUCUGGGAUAUGGACAAUGUUCAACUUUUGACGUCAAUUGAUGCUGAUGGAGGCCUUCCAGCAAGUCCACGUAUCCGCUUCAACAAAGAUGGCACUCUCUUGGCAGUUUCUGCCAAUGAGAAUGGUAUUAAAAUAUUGGCAAAUUCCGAUGGUCUUAGAUUGUUGCGGUCAUUUGAGAAUCUCUCUUAUGAUGCCUCACGAGCAUCUGAAACAGUUACGAAGCCUAUAAUUAGCCCAAUCUCAGCAGCAGCGGCAGGAGCAGCAGCCGCCGCGACUAGGGCUGCAGAUAGAAAUGCUUCUAUGGUUACUAUUCCUGGAAUGAAUGGCGAUGCUCGGAACAUGGGAGAUGUGAAACCUAGAAUAAAUGAAGAAUCCAAUGACAAAUCGAAGAUAUGGAAGCUCACUGAAAUUAAUGAACCAUCUCAAUG
Molecule: unclassified non-coding RNA, 607 nt
Filed under: Hevea brasiliensis (rubber tree)
Lineage: Eukaryota; Viridiplantae; Streptophyta; Magnoliopsida; Malpighiales; Euphorbiaceae
Source: RNAcentral